Molecule: ribosomal RNA, 394 nt
Filed under: Hakaria simonyi
Lineage: Eukaryota; Metazoa; Chordata; Lepidosauria; Squamata; Scincidae
Description: partial 12S ribosomal RNA
Rfam family: Bacterial small subunit ribosomal RNA
Source: RNAcentral
GCUUAGCCAUAAACAAAGACAAUACACACACAAUAUUGUCCGCCAGAGAACUACAAGCGAAAAACUCGAAACUCCAAGGACUUGGCGGUGCUUCACACCAACCUAGAGGAGCCUGUCCUAUAAUCGAUACCCCACGACAAACCUUACCAUCUUUUGCCACUCAGCCUAUAUACCGCCGUCGCCAGCCUACCUUAUGAAAGAAAAACAGUAAGCAAAAUCGUUAACAACAAACACGUCAGGUCAAGGUGUAGCACAUAAGGUGGAAGAGAUGGGCUACAUUUUCUACAACAGAAAAAACGAACGGCACAAUGAAAUACGACCCUGAAGGUGGAUUUAGUAGUAAGAUAAUCAAGAAAAAUUAUCUUAAACCCGCUCUGAAGCGCGCACACACCGC